This 219-nucleotide long non-coding RNA is filed under the name Elaeis guineensis (African oil palm). RNAcentral describes it as "long non-coding RNA (EGUI_LNC067582)". The record is from RNAcentral. Lineage: Eukaryota; Viridiplantae; Streptophyta; Magnoliopsida; Arecales; Arecaceae.
CUAUGCUGAUAAUUCUAAGAAUCAUCUAAUGACUCAAAAAAUUAAAAAUGCAUGGAGAAUUAAAGGAAGGAAAUAAAGAGUCCAAUGUGAAAUGGACUCUCCAUUUCACAUCGCCCAAAAAUAAGGGACGUCCCAUUUAUUUUUUGCAUGGAGUUUUUUCCAAGAGAAGGACUCCCUCAUAUCUUCCACAUCCCAUAUCCCAAUAGUUCCAUCUGAUGG